This 497-nucleotide ribosomal RNA is filed under the name uncultured bacterium. RNAcentral describes it as "partial 16S ribosomal RNA". It matches the Rfam family "Bacterial small subunit ribosomal RNA", at positions 28 to 507 of the family's 1533-position model. The record is from RNAcentral.
GAUGAACGCUGGCGGCGUGCCUAAUACAUGCAAGUCGAGCGAACGGACGAGAAGCUUGCUUCUCUGAUGUUAGCGGCGGACGGGUGAGUAACACGUGGAUAACCUACCUAUAAGACUGGGAUAACUUCGGGAAACCGUAGCUAAUACCGGAUAAUAUUUUGAACCGCAUGGUUCAAAAGUGAAAGACGGUCUUGCUGUCACUUAUAGAUGGAUCCGCGCUGCAUUAGCUAGUUGGUAAGGUAACGGCUUACCAAGGCAACGAUGCAUAGCCGACCGGAGAGGGUGAUCGGCGACACUGGAACUGAGACACGGUCCAGACUCCUACGGGAGGCAGCAGUAGGGAAUCUUCCGCAAUGGGCGAAAGCCUGACGGAGCAACGCCGCGUGAGUGAUGAAGGUCUUCGGAUCGUAAAACUCUGUUAUUAGGGAAGAACAGAUGUGUAAGUAACUGUGCACAUCGUGACGGUACCUAAUCAGAAAGCCACGGCUAACUACGUG